GCCUAAAGCGUCCGUAGCCGGCUCUGUUAGUUUUCGGUUAAAUCCAUAUGCUCAACAUAUGGGCCGCCGGGAAUACUGCAAAGCUAGGGAGUGGGAGAGGUAGACGGUACUCCGUAGGAAGGGGUAAAAUCCUUUGAUCUAUGGAUGACCACCUGUGGCGAAGGCGGUCUACCAGAACACGUUCGACGGUGAGGGAUGAAAGCUGGGGGAGCAAACCGGAUUAGAUACCCGGGUAGUCCCAGCUGUAAACUAUGCAAACUCAGUGAUGCAUUGGCUUGUGGCCAGUGCAGUGCCGCAGGGAAGCCGUUAAGUUUGCCGCCUGGGAAGUACGUACGCAAGUAUGAAACUUAAAGGAAUUGGCGGGGGAGCACCACAAGGGGUGAAGCCUGCGGUUCAAUUGGAGUCAACGCCAGAAAUCUUACCCGAAGAGACAGCAGGAUGAAGGUCAAGCUGAAGACUUUACCAGACAAGCUGAGAAGUGGUGCAUGGCCGUCGCCAGCUCGUGCCGUGAGGUGUCCUGUUAAGUCAGGUAACGAGCGAGAUCCUUGCCUCUAGUUGCCACCAUUACUCUCAGGAGUAGUGGGGCGAAUUAGCGGGACUGCCGUAGUUAAUACGGAGGAAGGAGAGGGCCACGGCAGGUCAGUAUGCCCCGAA
This 654-nucleotide ribosomal RNA is filed under the name uncultured archaeon. RNAcentral's name for it is "bacterial SSU rRNA". It matches the Rfam family "Archaeal small subunit ribosomal RNA", at positions 508 to 1160 of the family's 1478-position model. The record is from RNAcentral.